AGAUUAAGUUAUUAAGGGCGCACGGUGGAUGCCUUGGCACUAGAAGCCGAUGAAGGACGUUACUAACGACGAUAUGCUUUGGGGAGCUGUAAGUAAGCUUUGAUCCAGAGAUUUCCGAAUGGGGAAACCCAGCAUGAGUUAUGUCAUGUUAUCGAUAUGUGAAUACAUAGCAUAUCAGAAGGCACACCCGGAGAACUGAAACAUCUUAGUACCCGGAGGAAGAGAAAGAAAAUUCGAUUCCCUUAGUAGCGGCGAGCGAAACGGGAAGAGCCCAAACCAACAAGCUUGCUUGUUGGGGUUGUAGGACACUCUAUACGGAGUUACAAAGGACGACAUUAGACGAAUCAUCUGGAAAGAUGAAUCAAAGAAGGUAAUAAUCCUGUAGUCGAAAAUGUUGUCUCUCUUGAGUGGAUCCUGAGUACGACGGAGCACGUGAAAUUCCGUCGGAAUCUGGGAGGACCAUCUCCUAAGGCUAAAUACUCUCUAGUGACCGAUAGUGAACCAGUACCGUGAGGGAAAGGUGAAAAGCACCCCGGAAGGGGAGUGAAAUAGAACCUGAAACCGUGUGCUUACAAGUAGUCAGAGCCCGUUAAUGGGUGAUGGCGUGCCUUUUGUAGAAUGAACCGGCGAGUUACGAUUUGAUGCAAGGUUAAGCAGUAAAUGUGGAGCCGUAGCGAAAGCGAGUCUGAAUAGGGCGUUUAGUAUUUGGUCGUAGACCCGAAACCAGGUGAUCUACCCUUGGUCAGGUUGAAGUUCAGGUAACACUGAAUGGAGGACCGAACCGACUUACGUUGAAAAGUGAGCGGAUGAACUGAGGGUAGCGGAGAAAUUCCAAUCGAACCUGGAGAUAGCUGGUUCUCUCCGAAAUAGCUUUAGGGCUAGCCUCAAGUGAUGAUUAUUGGAGGUAGAGCACUGUUUGGACGAGGGGCCCCUCUCGGGUUACCGAAUUCAGACAAACUCCGAAUGCCAAUUAAUUUAACUUGGGAGUCAGAACAUGGGUGAUAAGGUCCGUGUUCGAAAGGGAAACAGCCCAGACCACCAGCUAAGGUCCCAAAAUAUAUGUUAAGUGGAAAAGGAUGUGGCGUUGCCCAGACAACUAGGAUGUUGGCUUAGAAGCAGCCAUCAUUUAAAGAGUGCGUAAUAGCUCACUAGUCGAGUGACACUGCGCCGAAAAUGUACCGGGGCUAAACAUAUUACCGAAGCUGUGGAUUGUCCUUUGGACAAUGGUAGGAGAGCGUUCUAAGGGCGUUGAAGCAUGAUCGUAAGGACAUGUGGAGCGCUUAGAAGUGAGAAUGCCGGUGUGAGUAGCGAAAGACGGGUGAGAAUCCCGUCCACCGAUUGACUAAGGUUUCCAGAGGAAGGCUCGUCCGCUCUGGGUUAGUCGGGUCCUAAGCUGAGGCCGACAGGCGUAGGCGAUGGAUAACAGGUUGAUAUUCCUGUACCACCUAUAAUCGUUUUAAUCGAUGGGGGGACGCAGUAGGAUAGGCGAAGCGUGCGAUUGGAUUGCACGUCUAAGCAGUAAGGCUGAGUAUUAGGCAAAUCCGGUACUCGUUAAGGCUGAGCUGUGAUGGGGAGAAGACAUUGUGUCUUCGAGUCGUUGAUUUCACACUGCCGAGAAAAGCCUCUAGAUAGAAAAUAGGUGCCCGUACCGCAAACCGACACAGGUAGUCAAGAUGAGAAUUCUAAGGUGAGCGAGCGAACUCUCGUUAAGGAACUCGGCAAAAUGACCCCGUAACUUCGGGAGAAGGGGUGCUCUUUAGGGUUAACGCCCAGAAGAGCCGCAGUGAAUAGGCCCAAGCGACUGUUUAUCAAAAACACAGGUCUCUGCUAAACCGUAAGGUGAUGUAUAGGGGCUGACGCCUGCCCGGUGCUGGAAGGUUAAGAGGAGUGGUUAGCUUCUGCGAAGCUACGAAUCGAAGCCCCAGUAAACGGCGGCCGUAACUAUAACGGUCCUAAGGUAGCGAAAUUCCUUGUCGGGUAAGUUCCGACCCGCACGAAAGGCGUAACGAUUUGGGCACUGUCUCAACGAGAGACUCGGUGAAAUCAUAGUACCUGUGAAGAUGCAGGUUACCCGCGACAGGACGGAAAGACCCCGUGGAGCUUUACUGUAGCCUGAUAUUGAAAUUCGGCACAGCUUGUACAGGAUAGGUAGGAGCCUUUGAAACGUGAGCGCUAGCUUACGUGGAGGCGCUGGUGGGAUACUACCCUAGCUGUGUUGGCUUUCUAACCCGCACCACUUAUCGUGGUGGGAGACAGUGUCAGGCGGGCAGUUUGACUGGGGCGGUCGCCUCCUAAAAGGUAACGGAGGCGCUCAAAGGUUCCCUCAGAAUGGUUGGAAAUCAUUCAUAGAGUGUAAAGGCAUAAGGGAGCUUGACUGCGAGACCUACAAGUCGAGCAGGGUCGAAAGACGGACUUAGUGAUCCGGUGGUUCCGCAUGGAAGGGCCAUCGCUCAACGGAUAAAAGCUACCCCGGGGAUAACAGGCUUAUCUCCCCCAAGAGUUCACAUCGACGGGGAGGUUUGGCACCUCGAUGUCGGCUCAUCGCAUCCUGGGGCUGUAGUCGGUCCCAAGGGUUGGGCUGUUCGCCCAUUAAAGCGGUACGCGAGCUGGGUUCAGAACGUCGUGAGACAGUUCGGUCCCUAUCCGUCGUGGGCGUAGGAAAUUUGAGAGGAGCUGUCCUUAGUACGAGAGGACCGGGAUGGACAUACCUCUGGUGUACCAGUUGUCGUGCCAACGGCAUAGCUGGGUAGCUAUGUGUGGACGGGAUAAGUGCUGAAAGCAUCUAAGCAUGAAGCCCCCCUCAAGAUGAGAUUUCCCAACUUCGGUUAUAAGAUCCCUCAAAGAUGAUGAGGUUAAUAGGUUCGAGGUGGAAGCAUGGUGACAUGUGGAGCUGACGAAUA
This 2900-nucleotide ribosomal RNA is filed under the name Staphylococcus aureus. Its description in RNAcentral is "partial 23S ribosomal RNA". It matches the Rfam family "Bacterial large subunit ribosomal RNA". Lineage: Bacteria; Bacillati; Bacillota; Bacilli; Caryophanales; Staphylococcaceae. The record is from RNAcentral.